This 328-nucleotide ribosomal RNA is filed under the name uncultured eukaryote. RNAcentral describes it as "partial 18S ribosomal RNA". It matches the Rfam family "Eukaryotic small subunit ribosomal RNA", at positions 1470 to 1796 of the family's 1831-position model. The record is from RNAcentral.
CCCUUAGAUGUUCUGGGCCGCACGCGCGCUACACUGACUGGUGCAACAAGUGUCUGACCUUGGCUCGAGAGGCCUGGGCAACCUUUGAACGCCAGUCGUGCUGGGGAUAGAUUCUUGCAAUUAUUAAUCUUCAACGAGGAAUUCCUAGUAAACGCAAGUCAUCAGCUUGCAUUGAUUACGUCCCUGCCCUUUGUACACACCGCCCGUCGCUCCUACCGAUUGAGCAAACCGGUGAAUAGUUUGGACCGUCGGCUUUCUCGGUUCGCCGGGUUAGCAGUGCGGAAAAUUCAGUGAACCUUUUUGCUUAGAGGAAGGAGAANUCGUAACA